This 1712-nucleotide ribosomal RNA is filed under the name Escherichia coli. RNAcentral's name for it is "bacterial LSU rRNA". It matches the Rfam family "Bacterial large subunit ribosomal RNA", at positions 1 to 1746 of the family's 2925-position model. The record is from RNAcentral. Lineage: Bacteria; Pseudomonadati; Pseudomonadota; Gammaproteobacteria; Enterobacterales; Enterobacteriaceae.
GGGUUGUGAGGUUAAGCGACUAAGCGUACACGGUGGAUGCCCUGGCAGUCAGAGGCGAUGAAGGACGUGCUAAUCUGCGAUAAGCGUCGGUAAGGUGAUAUGAACCGUUAUAACCGGCGAUUUCCGAAUGGGGAAACCCAGUGUGAUUCGUCACACUAUCAUUAACUGAAUCCAUAGGUUAAUGAGGCGAACCGGGGGAACUGAAACAUCUAAGUACCCCGAGGAAAAGAAAUCAACCGAGAUUCCCCCAGUAGCGGCGAGCGAACGGGGAGGAGCCCAGAGCCUGAAUCAGUGUGUGUGUUAGUGGAAGCGUCUGGAAAGGCGCGCGAUACAGGGUGACAGCCCCGUACACAAAAAUGCACAUGCUGUGAGCUCGAUGAGUAGGGCGGGACACGUGGUAUCCUGUCUGAAUAUGGGGGGACCAUCCUCCAAGGCUAAAUACUCCUGACUGACCGAUAGUGAACCAGUACCGUGAGGGAAAGGCGAAAAGAACCCCGGCGAGGGGAGUGAAAAAGAACCUGAAACCGUGUACGUACAAGCAGUGGGAGCACGCUUAGGCGUGUGACUGCGUACCUUUUGUAUAAUGGGUCAGCGACUUAUAUUCUGUAGCAAGGUUAACCGAAUAGGGGAGCCGAAGGGAAACCGAGUCUUAACUGGGCGUUAAGUUGCAGGGUAUAGACCCGAAACCCGGUGAUCUAGCCAUGGGCAGGUUGAAGGUUGGGUAACACUAACUGGAGGACCGAACCGACUAAUGUUGAAAAAUUAGCGGAUGACUUGUGGCUGGGGGUGAAAGGCCAAUCAAACCGGGAGAUAGCUGGUUCUCCCCGAAAGCUAUUUAGGUAGCGCCUCGUGAAUUCAUCUCCGGGGGUAGAGCACUGUUUCGGCAAGGGGGUCAUCCCGACUUACCAACCCGAUGCAAACUGCGAAUACCGGAGAAUGUUAUCACGGGAGACACACGGCGGGUGCUAACGUCCGUCGUGAAGAGGGAAACAACCCAGACCGCCAGCUAAGGUCCCAAAGUCAUGGUUAAGUGGGAAACGAUGUGGGAAGGCCCAGACAGCCAGGAUGUUGGCUUAGAAGCAGCCAUCAUUUAAAGAAAGCGUAAUAGCUCACUGGUCGAGUCGGCCUGCGCGGAAGAUGUAACGGGGCUAAACCAUGCACCGAAGCUGCGGCAGCGACGCUGAUGCGUUGUUGGGUAGGGGAGCGUUCUGUAAGCCUGCGAAGGUGUGCUGUGAGGCAUGCUGGAGGUAUCAGAAGUGCGAAUGCUGACAUAAGUAACGAUAAAGCGGGUGAAAAGCCCGCUCGCCGGAAGACCAAGGGUUCCUGUCCAACGUUAAUCGGGGCAGGGUGAGUCGACCCCUAAGGCGAGGCCGAAAGGCGUAGUCGAUGGGAAACAGGUUAAUAUUCCUGUACUUGGUGUUACUGCGAAGGGGGGACGGAGAAGGCUAUGUUGGCCGGGCGACGGUUGUCCCGGUUUAAGCGUGUAGGCUGGUUUUCCAGGCAAAUCCGGAAAAUCAAGGCUGAGGCGUGAUGACGAGGCACUACGGUGCUGAAGCAACAAAUGCCCUGCUUCCAGGAAAAGCCUCUAAGCAUCAGGUAACAUCAAAUCGUACCCCAAACCGACACAGGUGGUCAGGUAGAGAAUACCAAGGCGCUUGAGAGAACUCGGGUGAAGGAACUAGGCAAAAUGGUGCCGUAACUUCGGGAGAAGG